AACUGCGGACAGGUUUUAUGAC
RNAcentral lists this microRNA (22 nucleotides) under Lotus japonicus. Its description in RNAcentral is "lja-miR7522". Lineage: Eukaryota; Viridiplantae; Streptophyta; Magnoliopsida; Fabales; Fabaceae. The record is from miRBase by way of RNAcentral.